This 582-nucleotide ribosomal RNA is filed under the name uncultured bacterium. Its description in RNAcentral is "bacterial SSU rRNA". It matches the Rfam family "Bacterial small subunit ribosomal RNA", at positions 337 to 909 of the family's 1533-position model. The record is from RNAcentral.
UCCUACGGGAGGCAGCAGUGAGGAAUUUUGCGCAAUGGGGGAAACCCUGACGCAGCAACGCCGCGUGAGUGAUGAAGGCCUUCGGGUCGUAAAGCUCUGUCAAGUGGGAAGAACCUGUCCGAUGUUAAUACCAUCGGGCACUGACGGUACCACUGGAGGAAGCACCGGCUAACUCCGUGCCAGCAGCCGCGGUAACACGGAGGGCGCAAGCGUUAUUCGGAAUUAUUGGGCGUAAAGGGCGCGUAGGCGGUCUUAUAAGUCAGGUGUGAAAGCCCGGGGCUCAACCCCGGAAGUGCAUUUGAAACUAUAGGACUUGAGUAUGGGAGAGGGAAGUGGAAUUCCUGGUGUAGCGGUGAAAUGCGUAGAUAUCAGGAGGAACACCGGUGGCGAAGGCGGCUUCCUGGACCAAUACUGACGCUGAGGCGCGAAGGCGUGGGGAGCAAACAGGAUUAGAUACCCUGGUAGUCCACGCAGUAAACGGUGAUCACUAGGUGUAGCGGGUAUUGACCCCUGCUGUGCCGGAGUUAACGCAUUAAGUGAUCCGCCUGGGGAGUACGGCCGCAAGGUUAAAACUCAAAGGAA